CAGCCGCCGCGGGAAUACGAAGGGUGCAAGCGUUAAUCGGAAUUACUGGGCGUAAAGCGUGCGUAGGCGGUGAGUUAAGUCUGCUGUGAAAUCCCCGGGCUCAACCUGGGAAUGGCAGUGGAUACUGGCUCGCUAGAGUGUGUCAGAGGAUGGUGGAAUUCCCGGUGUAGCGGUGAAAUGCGUAGAGAUCGGGAGGAACAUCAGUGGCGAAGGCGGCCAUCUGGGACAACACUGACGCUGAGGCACGAAAGCGUGGGGAGCAAACAGGAUUAGAUACCCCCGUAGUCCCUGUCUCUAUACC
RNAcentral lists this ribosomal RNA (301 nucleotides) under uncultured bacterium. RNAcentral describes it as "partial 16S ribosomal RNA". It matches the Rfam family "Bacterial small subunit ribosomal RNA", at positions 509 to 808 of the family's 1533-position model. The record is from RNAcentral.